Molecule: long non-coding RNA, 609 nt
Filed under: Vulpes vulpes (red fox)
Lineage: Eukaryota; Metazoa; Chordata; Mammalia; Carnivora; Canidae
Description: lncRNA (ENSVVUG00000016855.1)
Source: RNAcentral
AAAAAACAUAAUUCAAAAUCACCAUAUGAAAAGAAUUUUAAAAAGCAGCAGCAUGAGACAAAGGGAGAGAAUUCCAAUCAAAAAUCUAAAUUCUGCAAUUCUUGGAUCAUAAGUCACUGAAGAAGAAUUUUGUGUUCUUCACAGUUUUAUCUAUGAAAAAGCCCAUGACUGACAAGGAUAACAGAAGAUCCUAAGAUUGUACAGAAGAGGGGAGUAAAGAAAUAGAAAGCAAAAUUGAAAGCUGGAAAAUAGUCGAGUAAUGCUUUCAAAUUUUGAGGGACUCAAACUCACUCCCACUGAAAUGCGAAAUCUCAGAAGUGAAAUAACUGCAGCUAAGUCAUGAUUCAUUCAGUGUCGCAUGGUUGCUUUAGCUGGACAUUAUUUAAGGAUGAUGUAAGAACAGGAACUCGGUGCCUAGAAGCUCAGAUGCGGCUGCUCAAUCGAGAUAAGGGGAAACAAAAGGAAACUGCGCUCGCUUCUAAAGAUGCCUACUGCAGUUCAAGGUCUAGGUCCAGAAUCUGCAUAUUAUGUAAUUUUGACAUAGAUUCCCUCCUGUGUGGAGAGACGACGAGGAUAGAUUUUAGGCAAAAAAAAGGCCUUCUUUUAUAA